UAAGGAAUUCCUGUUAAGGAAAUAUCAUAAAACUAUAUUAUCGCAUAGCACCAAAAUAUAAUUACUCAUAGUUCUCAUUAUAUAAAGGAUACAAGCAAAAUGCUCUUUCUGAAUUCUUCCACAGUUAAUUUCAAGGAUAAACACAACUCCUGUAGAACAAAGCAAUCAUACACUUCCAAACUACGGAUUAGUAUUCCCACUACACUUAGUUCUUGCAAUGAAAACCUGAAGGGUAUCUUGAAGGUCUUGGAUUCAGCAAAGACUAAGGGUAAGCAAGCUCAGUUUUCUGAUUUUGAUUCUUCAAGCCCACUGCCUAAAUCUUUGGAUUACUGGACCUACAAUUGCUCCCUGGACUCAUCCUCCCCUCCAUGAGAAUGUAAUCUGGAUUAUCCUUGAAGAGCCUAUUCCUACCGGCUCAGAGCAGCAUCUAAUGAAGAAUUACAUAUAUGCACACACAUAUGGCCAUGCAAAAAUAAAGCACCAUCAGGUUCACUGUUUCUCAAGGAGAGCAGCACCCAGCUUUGCAAAGGGCUCCACAGUGACAACUGAAUUAUUUAAUAGCCAGCAGUGGCAAAGCUCUGAACAAGAUAAGGUCAGACUCUGCAAGGAACAACAUGAAGCACUAGAAUAGAAAUUAGGUUUCCAGGUAGCUCUGUUAUGCAACUUGAAUGUUAUUUAACUGAAAUAAUGAAGUACCUUCAUUAAGCUAUGUUAAUAUUAUCUGUGAACAGGAAGAUAAUAAUUUUCAUUGCUCUCAGUUCUCAAAAAAAAAUGCUUCUGGGAAAAGCAAGGGUAGAAACACCGCCUGAUCUGUUGGACUGGUUUCAGAGGAGGUGUUUUCCUCAGUGAUAACAAAAAAUUAAUAAACUUCACAAAAUGAUCACAACGGGCAUACAUUUAAGAAAUUGAAACAAAUCUAUUAGGCAGAGAUAAAAGGAGAUGUUUUGUUCAGAUUCUCUAUAAAAGCUCUUUCACAGGUGUUCUGAAGCUGUAUCUUACAAUUUCUCAGGUUCAGCAUGGGCAUGAGACCUGUGGUUUCGAUCAGUUGGAGACAUUUGCACAUGUGAAGAAGGGUGACAGAAGGUGGGCAGCUGGAUCUACUGGUUCAUCUCAAGCUCAUCUCCAACAUAAAUGACUACACCCUAUUUCUUUUUGUGCAACUCCUCUGGAAAAUUACUUUAAUAAAAUACAUGUGAAAAUAUUAAGUAGGAACAACUGUGAAAAUCAAAUGGAUCUACUUACGACAACCAAGAAAAUGAAUAAGCAAUUCAUAGUCUAUGAAACUGUAAGGCAACGGAAAUGUCCUUGAUUUGAUCAAGGAAAGGCAAACUCAUUUCAUAGUAUCUCUAGACUUUGACUACCAGUGAAGCAGAGCUGUCUUAUCUUUAGAACAAAGAAAGAGAACAAAAUUCAAACAGGAUUAUAUUUUAAGACAUAAAACUAUCACUCUGUUGACAACUACUGAUACCUGCUGUCAAUAUAAAAGAGGGAAAGGAAAAUUACUUAGUGCAGUAGUUUGAAUGGAUGAUUUCUCAGUGUCAAAGAUUUAAUAAAACUAACAUUUUCUCUCUCUCUCUCUCUCUUUUUUUUUCUUUUUUUUUUUUUUUUUUUUUUUACCAGAAUUAAUCAUUUUCUCAUUUGUUGUUCAAUAUUUUAUCCAUACAUAAAAAUAUUAAUAUCUGUGCAGUGCAUCAUAGCCAAACUCUACAGUAAAUCACUCACAUUCCGAAAUAAAAGUAAAUGGCAAGCUACCACUUAAACAACUCUUCUGGAGAACUUCUGCUAAGCAUCUCCUCUGCUAAAAUAAAGUUCCCUCAUAGCUCUACAGCUGUGAAACAGUAGUUCCAUUUAGCAUUUCACAUCUGAUCAGCAGAAC
This 1876-nucleotide long non-coding RNA is filed under the name Anas platyrhynchos (mallard). RNAcentral's name for it is "lncRNA (ENSAPLG00020006764.1)". The record is from RNAcentral. Lineage: Eukaryota; Metazoa; Chordata; Aves; Anseriformes; Anatidae.